This is a long non-coding RNA of Tupaia belangeri chinensis (Chinese tree shrew), 645 nucleotides long. RefSeq lists it as uncharacterized. The transcript is spliced from 5 exons. The record is from RefSeq and is a predicted model, not a curated record. NCBI's taxonomy places the organism in Eukaryota, Metazoa, Chordata, Mammalia, Scandentia, Tupaiidae.
UUGUUUUUGAGCAAUUUUAUGAAUAGCUAAAGUGGCUGGUUGUGUUUGAGACUAAAAGCCUGUUGGAGAAUUAGGCUAACAAAGGGUGAAGGUGAAGAUCAUUAGAGGUUUUAGAGCUGGCUGAGACGGGUUGCUGGGGUUGUGUAACUGUGCCUAGAGGGCGGGGUUCCUGUACAUUCCUACUUCACCAGAUAACCUGCCCCCAGCACCACUCCAGCUUCUACCAGACAGAUGGAACUCUCCAACAAGAAAAUCUGCGCAGCCAUUCCAACAAGCAGGAGUCUGCUUGAGGGUGUCAGAAGGAUGCCGAGGAAAAAGACUGGAGGACUGAGAGCGCUCUCCCCCCAAGAAUGACGGGAUAAACCGAAUAUCCCAGUGAAGUGAUGAACUACAGGCACCACGUUUCUUCAUGAAAUUUUUAGAAAGAGGAUUUUUCAUUGGUCAGUAUAAGGAAGGCUACGAUGAUCAUCCACUUCACAUCGAAUGCUAUAUAAUCAACAGUGUGCUGUUUUCAACCAGAGAUUUCCAAGAUCCUCCAGACUCUAAACUACUGAAUAGGUUCCUAAGUCGAUCCAGAUCUCACGUGUCUGAACUGUUGGUCAUCUUCCCACCCUCUAGCUCUACAGGUAAAGAGGAGAUAAUAAU